GGCACCAUUCUGGAUAAU
This 18-nucleotide unclassified non-coding RNA is filed under the name Mus musculus (house mouse). RNAcentral describes it as "oocyte_clustered_small_RNA14239". Lineage: Eukaryota; Metazoa; Chordata; Mammalia; Rodentia; Muridae. The record is from RNAcentral.